CUUACAGAGUUCUUUGGCAUUCUGUCCACCUCCCCGAUCUCCUUUUAGGAAGAAAAAAAAGAAAGAUUAAUUAUAGGAAAAAAUAUAUUUUCUUCGUUUUAAUUUAUGUGACGUAGUUUGAAACGACAAGAGUUAAGUGUAGAAUUAUGGAGGUGGGCAUACUGCCAACAGAUUUCUGUUGG
RNAcentral lists this microRNA precursor (182 nucleotides) under Nicotiana sylvestris (wood tobacco). RNAcentral's name for it is "MIR394 microRNA precursor family". It matches the Rfam family "MIR394 microRNA precursor family". Lineage: Eukaryota; Viridiplantae; Streptophyta; Magnoliopsida; Solanales; Solanaceae. RNAcentral also lists the same sequence under 1 other name. The record is from Rfam by way of RNAcentral.